CGUGUACAGCUCGUGGAUAACCAGGCAGCGGUGGGGCGGGGCAAAGUCGAGGGGGCGGGGCGUGGAGCGCCGGGGCGUGAGGGGGCACGUGGCGGGUCCUGCUGCAGCCCCUGUCCGCGGAACUGUCCCGCUUCUGGCCGCACGGCAACCGACGGGCGGUGGGGAGGCCGGGGCCACCCGGUGAGCCUCAAUUCCUGCCUGCGGGCUGAGGUGGGAGCACUGAGCUGUGGGCUCAGCUUCUCUCCGUGGGUAAUGGGACUCACAGAGAGUGGAAACAGGGCAAGGUGGUGCAGUGCAAUGUGUUCCCUGUUUGACAUAAAAGCUUGGGAAAACCCACAGCUCUUCAGUGAUAAAUGCACGUAUGCCAGGAAGGGGAGCGGGCCAGCCAGGCAGCGGUGUGGCCCUGUGCCCCAACCCCAAACUACAGCCACAGCCCUGCACCUCACAAAGCCACGCGCCCUCCUGGGCCGGCCGGUUUACUGAGUGUAACGUUUCUGUAUGAGGUUUCCUGUUUUGUGGUUGCCCAAUGCCUCUUCUUGAAGGAACGAGUUGCCCGCGUCUACGCUGGUGACAAAGAAGUGGAGCUUCUGACUCAGCUCUGUGCUUGGGGCUUCCACCAUCUUCUGCUUCCUGCGUUGUUACAUCCUGGUGAGCCCAGGAAAGAACCAGCUCGGCGCUUCCCCGCUGACUCAGGUGUGCUCCUAAUGACAGAUUUGGGAAAUGGCAACAACUGA
RNAcentral lists this long non-coding RNA (734 nucleotides) under Chrysolophus pictus (golden pheasant). RNAcentral describes it as "lncRNA (ENSCPIG00010002186.1)". Lineage: Eukaryota; Metazoa; Chordata; Aves; Galliformes; Phasianidae. The record is from RNAcentral.